CAAAUAUCCCUCCGUGCGGAAACACUUGACAUCAAACUAGAUAAAAGGGGAUGUAUCUAGAUGUAUUUUAGUUCUAUAUACAUCUCUUUUUCUUCAUUUUGAUGACAAGUAUUUUCGGACGGAGGGAGUAUAAG
This is a non-coding RNA of Triticum aestivum (bread wheat), 134 nucleotides long. NCBI's taxonomy places the organism in Eukaryota, Viridiplantae, Streptophyta, Magnoliopsida, Poales, Poaceae. The record is from Rfam.